This 1173-nucleotide long non-coding RNA is filed under the name Homo sapiens (human). Its description in RNAcentral is "HSALNT0338519". The record is from RNAcentral. Lineage: Eukaryota; Metazoa; Chordata; Mammalia; Primates; Hominidae.
GUAUCUUGAGCUGACCUCCUAUCUCAUCCUGUGACUAAGAAUGCCUGACCUCCUUGGAAUGCAGCCCAGCAGGUCUUAGCCCCAUUUCAACCAGCCCCUUUUCAAGAUGGAGUCACUCUGGUUCAAAUGCCUCUGACACUAGCAAGAACAAAUUUCAAUGAAGCAUUGAGUCAAUGGCAGUUUAUCAUUCCUUGUAACAUUCAAGUAGAUAAUUUUGGAAGUGGAUGCUUUAGUCUACUCUGUUUACUCAAAACAUACUUCCUGGGAAGUUCAAACUGAUAUACUUUUGUCUCAAUAAAUUCUCUUGUGGGGCAAAUCCACCUGAAAUGAUUGCCUUGUCCUUUGAGUUCCAAUUUUGAAAACUUCUCAAAACAUAUCAUUGCUGUAUGGAGAUACUUGAAUUCCUCAACGCAGGCCCCAUUUUGAUCUUUUCUUCGUUCCAUCGAGGAAAUCUUAAAGACACAUAAGCUCAGUGUGGCACUCCAGCUUCAUUUAUCACCGAGAGCUCAGCGUGGCUGUGGCUGUCAACUAAAGGAUACUUAAAGCCUUAGAAGUCAGUCUCGACUCAAGGAUGCAACUUCCUUCCUAUAACUCCAGCCCUGCUCUGUGUUUUAUGGACCAGGUCUCUUGGCACCAGGUGCUUAUUGAAAAUGCAGACUCCAGAACCCACUCCAGGACUCCCGAAUCACAGAAUUUUCACAAGCUCCCUAGGGUCGUGGUUCCUGAGGAGGAGAACUGCAGUUUCAGCAUUGCCUCCACAUUCAGCAUGGGGUGCUCAGAACCUUCCAAUAUGCGAGGCAGGCUAGUCAAUUAGGGGAGAAAGCUUAUCUCUUUAAAGCAAGUUAAGUGAAUGUUUGUUUCUUUAAAAAAAAAAUCAAACUGCCAAACUAUUUUCUGAGUGGCUGUACCAUUCUACGCUUCCACCAGCAAUGAAGAGUAAUCCAAUUUCGCCACAUUCCCACCAACAUUUAAAACUGUGGGGAUUCUGAUAGGUUUGUAGUGAUGUCUCAUUACGGUUUUUGGUUUUCUGGGUUUUGGUUUUGGUUUUUGAGACAAGGUCUUGCUCUGUCUCCUAGGCUGGAGUGCAGGGGUACAAUCUCAGCACGCGAUAGCCUCCACCGCCCGAGCUCAAGUGAUCCUGCCAACACAGUCUCCUGAGUAGCUGGGACUAUA